AUACCUGCCGGCGACCGGCAAACGGGUGCGGAACACGUACACAACCUUCCUUUAAGUGGGGGAUAGCCCAGAGAAAUUUGGAUUAAUACCCCGUAAGAUCAUUUAGUGGCAUCACUAGAUAAUUAAAGCUCCGGCGCUUGGAGAUGGGUGUGCGUCUGAUUAGGUAGUUGGUGUAGGUAACGGCUCACCAAGCCUUCGAUCAGUAACUGGUGUGAGAGCACGACCAGUCACACGGGCACUGAGACACGGGCCCGACUCCUACGGGAGGCAGCAGUAAGGAAUAUUGGUCAAUGGACGCAAGUCUGAACCAGCCAUGCCGCGUGGAGGAUGAAGGUCCUCUGGAUUGUAAACUUCUUUUAUUUGGGAAGAAAGGCAUCUUUUCUAAGGUGUUUGACGGUACCAGAUGAAUAAGCACCGGCUAACUCCGUGCCAGCAGCCGCGGUAAUACGGAGGGUGCAAGCGUUAUCCGGAUUCACUGGGUUUAAAGGGUGCGUAGGUGGGCAGUUAAGUCAGUGGUGAAAUCUCCGGGCUUAACCCGGAAACUGCCAUUGAUACUAUCUGUCUUGAAUAUCGUGGAGGUAGGCGGAAUAUGUCAUGUAGCGGUGAAAUGCUUAGAUAUGACAUAGAACACCAAUUGCGAAGGCAGCUUACUACCCGAAUAUUGACACUGAGGCACGAAAGCGUGGGGAUCAAACAGGAUUAGAUACCCUGGUAGUCCACGCCCUAAACGAUGGAUACUCGACAUACGCGAUAUACAGUGUGUGUCUGA
Molecule: ribosomal RNA, 769 nt
Filed under: uncultured bacterium
Lineage: Bacteria
Description: bacterial SSU rRNA
Rfam family: Bacterial small subunit ribosomal RNA
Source: RNAcentral